UACGUAGGGUGCAAGCGUUGCCCGGAUUUAUUGGGCGUAAAGGGCGCGUAGGCGGCUCUGCACGUUCGUUGUGAAAUCGCCCGGCUCAACUGGGCGGGGUCAGCGGAUACGGCAGAGCUUGAGCAAGCUAGGGGGCAAUGGAAUUCUUGGUGUAGCGGUGAAAUGCGUAGAUAUCAAGAGGAACACCUGCGGCGAAGGCGGGUUGCUGGGCCGACACUGACGCUGAGGCGCGAAAGCCAGGGGAGCGAACGGG
This 253-nucleotide ribosomal RNA is filed under the name uncultured bacterium. Its description in RNAcentral is "partial 16S ribosomal RNA". It matches the Rfam family "Bacterial small subunit ribosomal RNA", at positions 524 to 776 of the family's 1533-position model. The record is from RNAcentral.